UACGGAGGGUGCGAGCGUUAAUCGGAAUCACUGGGCGUAAAGCGCGCGUAGGCGGCUUUUCAAGUCAGGGGUGAAAUCCCACGGCCCAACCGUGGAACUGCCUUUGAAACUGUAGAGCUUGAGUGUCGGAGAGGGUGGCGGAAUUCCAGGUGUAGGAGUGAAGUCCGUAGAUAUCUGGAGGAACACCGGUGGCGAAGGCGGCCACCUGGACGACAACUGACGCUGAGGUGCGAAGGCGUGGGUAGCAAACAGG
Molecule: ribosomal RNA, 253 nt
Filed under: uncultured bacterium
Lineage: Bacteria
Description: partial 16S ribosomal RNA
Rfam family: Bacterial small subunit ribosomal RNA
Source: RNAcentral